RNAcentral lists this ribosomal RNA (639 nucleotides) under Alternaria tenuissima. RNAcentral's name for it is "SSU rRNA". It matches the Rfam family "Bacterial small subunit ribosomal RNA", at positions 348 to 962 of the family's 1533-position model. The record is from RNAcentral. Lineage: Eukaryota; Fungi; Ascomycota; Dothideomycetes; Pleosporales; Pleosporaceae.
UCAGCAGUGAGGAAUAUUGGUCAAUGGCCUAACGGCUGAACCAGCAACUUGCAGGAAUGAGAGUUAAUAUAAUAAGUUAUUAACUUGCUUGACUAGGUCUUAUAAAGUUCUGGAUAAAGCUUAUUAUGAAAACUUUAUAUCCAUAGGUCUCGACCAAAUCUUGUGCCAGCAGUCGCGGUAAGACAAGGGAGACGAGUGUUAUUCAUCUUUAACAGGUAUAUAGGGUACCUAGACGGUGUGCAAUGGCUUAAAUAAGUACCUGGUACACUUGAGUUUGAUAUGUGAGAGGAAUAUGUCGGAAUUGUUGGAGGAAAGAUGAAAUUUGUUAAUACCAAUAGGACUGAUAACGGCGAAGGCAAACCUCUAUGUACAUGUACUUGCUAUUUCUGUUUUUAUUAUAGCAAAAUAGCAAUGUACUAUAACUGACGUUGAGGGACGAAGGCUCAGAGAGUGAAGAGGAUUAGAUACCCCCGUAACCUGGGCAGACAAUGAUGAGUGCCAUAGGUUGGCUUUAAGGCGGAACUAUAAAUGAAAGUGGAAGCACUCCACCUCAAGAGUAAUGUGGCAACGCAGGAACUGAAAUCAUUAGACCGUUUCUGAAACCAGUAGUGAAGUAUGUUAUUUAAUUCGAUGAUCCGC